GGGGGACCUUCGGGCCUCUUGCCAUCGGAUGUGCCCAGAUGGGAUUAGCUAGUAGGUGGGGUAACGGCUCACCUAGGCGACGAUCCCUAGCUGGUCUGAGAGGAUGACCAGCCACACUGGAACUGAGACACGGUCCAGACUCCUACGGGAGGCAGCAGUGGGGAAUAUUGCACAAUGGGCGCAAGCCUGAUGCAGCCAUGCCGCGUGUAUGAAGAAGGCCUUCGGGUUGUAAAGUACUUUCAGCGGGGAGGAAGGGAGUAAAGUUAAUACCUUUGCUCAUUGACGUUACCCGCAGAAGAAGCUCCGGCUAACUCCGCCCAGCAGC
Molecule: ribosomal RNA, 325 nt
Filed under: Escherichia coli
Lineage: Bacteria; Pseudomonadati; Pseudomonadota; Gammaproteobacteria; Enterobacterales; Enterobacteriaceae
Description: bacterial SSU rRNA
Rfam family: Bacterial small subunit ribosomal RNA
Source: RNAcentral